AUACGGAGGAUCCGAGCGUUAUCCGGAUUUAUUGGGUUUAAAGGGAGCGUAGGCGGACGCUUAAGUCAGUUGUGAAAGUUUGCGGCUCAACCGUAAAAUUGCAGUUAAUACUGGGUGUCUUGAGUACAGUAGAGGCAGGCGGAAUUCGUGGUGUAGCGGUGAAAUGCUUAGAUAUCACGAAGAACUCCGAUUGCGAAGGCAGCCUGCUGGACUGUAACUGACGCUGAUGCUCGAAAGUGUGGGUAUCAAACAGGAUUAUAUACCCUGGUAGUCCACACAGUAAACGAUGAAUACUCGCUGUUUGCGAUAUACAGUAAGCGGCCAAGCGAAAGCGUUAAGUAUUCCACCUGGGGAGUACGCCGGCAACGGUGAAACUCAAAUGAAUUGACGGGG
Molecule: ribosomal RNA, 393 nt
Filed under: uncultured bacterium
Lineage: Bacteria
Description: partial 16S ribosomal RNA
Rfam family: Bacterial small subunit ribosomal RNA
Source: RNAcentral